This 24-nucleotide non-coding RNA is filed under the name Arabidopsis thaliana (thale cress). The record is from RNAcentral. Lineage: Eukaryota; Viridiplantae; Streptophyta; Magnoliopsida; Brassicales; Brassicaceae.
CGUCGUCCGAUCGGUGAACACAUG